UCUAGCCGUGGUAAAAAUUGGUGUGCCGUCUUCUCAUCUUCUCCAGAAGGAACGCGAGAUUUGGGGAAGCGGCGGUCGCCGUCACCCGUCUCGCUCGCCCUCCCACCGGCCGUUUCCAGCGCAGACCUCCCGCUGGCUGUCUCGCUCAGCUCACCUCCGGCGAGAAAGAAGGCAGAAGAGCGGGGAAGGUAAUCGUCAGCAAGGACGCCGUGGACGGCUUCGUCGAGAGCGCCCGCAUCUUCAUCCAAUACUUAUCUGCAACGGGCGCGAAGGAGGAGUGCGCUGUACGGCUAUAGCAUUUGAACUAGCAGCACAAAGGCAGGCUAGACCAAGCCGUCAUCGAUGUCCUCUACUUGUAGGUCGUGUACAAUACUAUGGAAGGUUAAUCCCUCUGCAAUUUCAGAACUAUAAUGCAUUCGUUUUAGAUAUACAUAUGUGUAUUAUGCAUCGUUGUAAUUUUACCAUUUACUUUCUUUUUUUCACAUAUGUAGUUCAGUCUACAAGUUCUAAAGCUUCA
Molecule: long non-coding RNA, 517 nt
Organism: Triticum dicoccoides
Lineage: Eukaryota; Viridiplantae; Streptophyta; Magnoliopsida; Poales; Poaceae
Exons: 2
Source: RefSeq, a predicted model, not a curated record